UAGGUUGACUGCUUGAGAGUACCGCUGCAAGGUUAGACUCAAAUGAAUUGACGAGGGCCCGCACAAGCGAUGGAGCAUGUGGUCUAAUUCGAUGCGACGUGAAGAACUCUACCUGGUCUUAGCAUCCACGGAAGUCUUCAGAGAUCAGAAUGUGCCUUCGAGAACCGUGAGCCAGAUGCUGCAUGACUGACGUCAGCUCGUGCUGUGAUAUGUUGAGUUAAGUCUCGUAACGAGCGCAAGUCUUAUCCUUUGUUGCCAGCGGUCUGGCCGAGAACUCAAAGGAGACUGCCAGUGAUAGACUGGAGGAAGGUGAGGAUGACGUCAAGUCAUCAUGGCUCUUACGACCAGAGCUACACACGUGCUACGAUGACAUAUACAGAGAGAAGCGAUCUCGCGAGAGCGAGCGGACCUCAUAGAGUACGUCGUAGUCUGGAUUGCAGUCUGCAAUUCGACUCCAUGAAGUCGCAAUCGCUAGUAAUUAUAGAUCAGAA
RNAcentral lists this ribosomal RNA (491 nucleotides) under uncultured Citrobacter sp. RNAcentral's name for it is "bacterial SSU rRNA". It matches the Rfam family "Bacterial small subunit ribosomal RNA", at positions 861 to 1354 of the family's 1533-position model. The record is from RNAcentral. Lineage: Bacteria; Pseudomonadati; Pseudomonadota; Gammaproteobacteria; Enterobacterales; Enterobacteriaceae.